CUCUCUCUCUCUCGCGCGCUCUCUCUCUCUCUCGCGUGCGCACGCGCGCAGCAGCGUAAAUUUGUAGUGGUCCUGGUUUUCUCUUUAGGAAACUAAGGACUCAAUACCUAGAAGUGAAAUUAUAACAAAUUCUUAAAUAAAAAUAAGCAUAAUUGCACUUGUAUAAAGUGGCAUCAAGCCUAAGAAGUUCAAGCAAACAAGUUACACAUUUUUCUGUUUUGCCAGAUAAAACAAAACUCCAGGGAGGAGUAUCUUGUACAAAAAGGUCUGGAAUAAAUGAAAAAUUGGCCAUUUCAAGCUCUACAAACUUCCCAUGCAUGGUUACUUAUUAAAGAAAGCAACUGUAUACAGUAAGGAAGCAAUUCAUCCAGCAAAGUCUUGAAAAGCCAAAAUGAUUCAAAUCAAAAGAAGAGGCUUUUAAAGCACAAGAACUCUCAUAUAAAUUGCAAAAUGAUUUGAUAUGGAAAAUAAAUGAUUCUAAUGUUUCACAUAACAAUUUCCACAUAUUUAGCUUCUUAAAAAAAGAUAUAAUACUCAAUAAAUUAUGGGAGAAGAGAAAGUGAACCUCAAGAAAGACACGCAAAGAAUAAUAACCUGAAGCAUA
This 604-nucleotide unclassified non-coding RNA is filed under the name Hevea brasiliensis (rubber tree). Lineage: Eukaryota; Viridiplantae; Streptophyta; Magnoliopsida; Malpighiales; Euphorbiaceae. The record is from RNAcentral.